This 1372-nucleotide ribosomal RNA is filed under the name uncultured bacterium. Its description in RNAcentral is "bacterial SSU rRNA". It matches the Rfam family "Bacterial small subunit ribosomal RNA", at positions 28 to 1381 of the family's 1533-position model. The record is from RNAcentral.
GAUGAACGCUGGCGGCGUGCCUAAUACAUGCAAGUCGAGCGAACGGACGAGAAGCUUGCUUCUCUGAUGUUAGCGGCGGACGGGUGAGUAACACGUGGAUAACCUACCUAUAAGACUGGGAUAACUUCGGGAAACCGUAGCUAAUACCGGAUAAUAUUUUGAACCGCAUGGUUCAAAAGUGAAAGACGGUCUUGCUGUCACUUAUAGAUGGAUCCGCGCUGCAUUAGCUAGUUGGUAAGGUAACGGCUUACCAAGGCAACGAUGCAUAGCCGACCUGAGAGGGUGAUCGGCCACACUGGACCUGAGACACGGUCCAGACUCCUACGGGAGGCAGCAGUAGGGAAUCUUCCGCAAUGGGCGAAAGCCUGACGGAGCAACGCCGCGUGAGUGAUGAAGGUCUUCGGAUCGUAAAACUCUGUUAUUAGGGAAGAACAUAUGUGUAAGUAACUGUGCACAUCUUGACGGUACCUAAUCAGAAAGCCACGGCUAACUACGUGCCAGCAGCCGCGGUAAUACGUAGGUGGCAAGCGUUAUCCGGAAUUAUUGGGCGUAAAGCGCGCGUAGGCGGUUUUUUAAGUCUGAUGUGAAAGCCCACGGCUCAACCGUGGAGGGUCAUUGGAAACUGGAAAACUUGAGUGCAGAAGAGGAAAGUGGAAUUCCAUGUGUAGCGGUGAAAUGCGCAGAGAUAUGGAGGAACACCAGUGGCGAAGGCGACUUUCUGGUCUGUAACUGACGCUGAUGUGCGAAAGCGUGGGGAUCAAACAGGAUUAGAUACCCUGGUAGUCCACGCCGUAAACGAUGAGUGCUAAGUGUUAGGGGGUUUCCGCCCCUUAGUGCUGCAGCUAACGCAUUAAGCACUCCGCCUGGGGAGUACGACCGCAAGGUUGAAACUCAAAGGAAUUGACGGGGACCCGCACAAGCGGUGGAGCAUGUGGUUUAAUUCGAAGCAACGCGAAGAACCUUACCAAAUCUUGACAUCCUUUGACAACUCUAGAGAUAGAGCCUUCCCCUUCGGGGGACAAAGUGACAGGUGGUGCAUGGUUGUCGUCAGCUCGUGUCGUGAGAUGUUGGGUUAAGUCCCGCAACGAGCGCAACCCUUAAGCUUAGUUGCCAUCAUUAAGUUGGGCACUCUAAGUUGACUGCCGGUGACAAACCGGAGGAAGGUGGGGAUGACGUCAAAUCAUCAUGCCCCUUAUGAUUUGGGCUACACACGUGCUACAAUGGACAAUACAAAGGGCAGCGAAACCGCGAGGUCAAGCAAAUCCCAUAAAGUUGUUCUCAGUUCGGAUUGUAGUCUGCAACUCGACUACAUGAAGCUGGAAUCGCUAGUAAUCGUAGAUCAGCAUGCUACGGUGAAUACGUUCCCGGGUCU